GCUGGGCACGGUGGCCCAUGCCUUAAUCCCAGCAGCUUGGGAGGCUGAGGCAGGGGGAUCACAAGUUCAAAGCCAGCCUCAGCAAAAGAGAGGGGCUAAGCAACUCAAUGGGACCCUGACUCUA
RNAcentral lists this small RNA (124 nucleotides) under Marmota monax (woodchuck). Lineage: Eukaryota; Metazoa; Chordata; Mammalia; Rodentia; Sciuridae. The record is from RNAcentral.